UAGUGGGCGGAAUUCUUCGCGCAAUGGGCGAAAGCCUGACGCAGCCAUGCCGCGUGAAUGAUGAAGGUCUUAGGAUUGUAAAAUUCUUUCACCGGGGACGAUAAUGACGGUACCCGGAGAAGAAGCCCCGGCUAACUUCGUGCCAGCAGCCGCGGUAAUACGAAGGGGGCUAGCGUUGCUCGGAAUUACUGGGCGUAAAGGGAGCGUAGGCGGACUGUUAAGUUAGAGGUGAAAGCCCAGGGCUCAACCUUGGAAUUGCCUUUGAUACUGGCAGUCUUGAGUACGGAAGAGGUAUGUGGAACUCCGAGUGUAGAGGUGAAAUUCGUAGAUAUUCGGAAGAACACCAGUGGCGAAGGCGACAUACUGGUCCGUUACUGACGCUGAGGCUCGAAAGCGUGGGGAGCAAACAGGAUUAGAACCCCCUGGUAGA
RNAcentral lists this ribosomal RNA (430 nucleotides) under uncultured Caulobacter sp. RNAcentral describes it as "bacterial SSU rRNA". It matches the Rfam family "Bacterial small subunit ribosomal RNA", at positions 349 to 794 of the family's 1533-position model. The record is from RNAcentral. Lineage: Bacteria; Pseudomonadati; Pseudomonadota; Alphaproteobacteria; Caulobacterales; Caulobacteraceae.